RNAcentral lists this ribosomal RNA (300 nucleotides) under uncultured Bacillus sp. Its description in RNAcentral is "bacterial SSU rRNA". It matches the Rfam family "Bacterial small subunit ribosomal RNA", at positions 496 to 795 of the family's 1533-position model. The record is from RNAcentral. Lineage: Bacteria; Bacillati; Bacillota; Bacilli; Caryophanales; Bacillaceae.
GCUAGUCAGGGUGCAGCAGCCGCGGUAAUGCGGAGGGGGCGAGCGGUGUCCGAGUUUAAUGGGGGUAAAGAGCGUGUAGGCGGCCAGGUAGGUCUGCUUUGAAAACUCGAGGCUGAACCUCGAGAUGUCGGCGGAAACCAUCUGGCUAGAGUCCGGAAGAGGAGAGUGGAAUUCCUGGUGUAGCGGUGAAAUGCGCAGAUAUCAGGAAGAACACCCGUGGCGAAGGCGGCUCUCUGGGACGGUACUGACGCUGAGACGCGAAAGCGUGGGGAGCGAACAGGAUUAGAUACUCUUGUAGUC